Molecule: non-coding RNA, 45 nt
Filed under: Schistosoma bovis
Lineage: Eukaryota; Metazoa; Platyhelminthes; Trematoda; Strigeidida; Schistosomatidae
Also listed under: 1 other name
Source: RNAcentral
AUCCAGUUGACGAGUACUACAUAAGACGAAACGUGCGUUCUGGAU